GUGCGUAUUGUUGAAUUCCUGUCCAUAAUGUGCUUAUCAAAUUAAAAGGGUGCUAAAGAACUUAUUGUUCAAGACCAAUCGGUCAAUUCAUGUUUAUAUCAUGGUCAUUACUAUCGAUUCACUUGUUUGAAUUAUUUUUUUUAAUCAUGUAUGUUGAUAUUUUUUUAUAUAUAUGCAGUCUAGUACAUUUUUGGUAUUAUGACUUUGUUUUAUAGGUACAUGUAUUUACAUGUAUGCCCCAAUUUUUUUU
RNAcentral lists this long non-coding RNA (250 nucleotides) under Mytilus galloprovincialis (Mediterranean mussel). Lineage: Eukaryota; Metazoa; Mollusca; Bivalvia; Mytilida; Mytilidae. The record is from RNAcentral.